RNAcentral lists this ribosomal RNA (428 nucleotides) under uncultured Bacillota bacterium. RNAcentral describes it as "bacterial SSU rRNA". It matches the Rfam family "Bacterial small subunit ribosomal RNA", at positions 958 to 1385 of the family's 1533-position model. Lineage: Bacteria; Bacillati; Bacillota. The record is from RNAcentral.
AACGCGAAGAACCUUACCAGGUCUUGACAUCCCACUGACCGGUAUAGAGAUAUACCUUUCCCUUCGGGGACAGUGGUGACAGGUGGUGCAUGGUUGUCGUCAGCUCGUGUCGUGAGAUGUUGGGUUAAGUCCCGCAACGAGCGCAACCCUUGAUCUUAGUUGCCAGCAUUAAGUUGGGCACUCUAAGGUGACUGCCGGUGACAAACCGGAGGAAGGUGGGGAUGACGUCAAAUCAUCAUGCCCCUUAUGACCUGGGCUACACACGUGCUACAAUGGAUGGUACAAAGGGCUGCGAGACUGCGAAGUCAAGCGAAUCCCAUAAAACCAUUCUCAGUUCGGAUUGCAGGCUGCAACUCGCCUGCAUGAAGCUGGAAUCGCUAGUAAUCGUGGAUCAGCAUGCCACGGUGAAUACGUUCCCGGGCCUUGUA